This 253-nucleotide ribosomal RNA is filed under the name uncultured bacterium. Its description in RNAcentral is "partial 16S ribosomal RNA". It matches the Rfam family "Bacterial small subunit ribosomal RNA", at positions 524 to 776 of the family's 1533-position model. The record is from RNAcentral.
UACGAAGGGGGCUAGCGUUGCUCGGAAUCACUGGGAGUAAAGGGUGCGUAGGCGGGCCUUUAAGUCAGGGGUGAAAUCCUGGAGCUCAACUCCAGAACUGCCUUUGAUACUGAAGAUCUUGAGUUCGGGAGAGGUGAGUGGAACUGCGAGUGUAGAGGUGAAAUUCGUAGAUAUUCGCAAGAACACCAGUGGCGAAGGCGGCUCACUGGCCCGAUACUGACGCUGAGGCACGAAAGCGUGGGGAGCAAACAGG